RNAcentral lists this ribosomal RNA (499 nucleotides) under uncultured bacterium. RNAcentral's name for it is "bacterial SSU rRNA". It matches the Rfam family "Bacterial small subunit ribosomal RNA", at positions 28 to 526 of the family's 1533-position model. The record is from RNAcentral.
GAUGAACGCUAGCGGCAGGCCUAACACAUGCAAGUCGAGGGGUAUAUAGUGCUUGCACUAUAGAGACCGGCGCACGGGUGCGUAACGCGUAUGCAAUCUACCUAUUGCAGGGGAAUAGCCCGAAGAAAUUUGGAUUAAUGCCCCAUAGUAUUAUUGAUAGGCAUCUAUUAAUAAUUAAAGAUUCAUCGGCAAUAGAUGAGCAUGCGUACUAUUAGCUAGUUGGUGUGGUAACGGCACACCAAGGCAACGAUAGUUAGGGGUCCUGAGAGGGAGAUCCCCCACACUGGUACUGAGACACGGACCAGACUCCUACGGGAGGCAGCAGUGAGGAAUAUUGGACAAUGGGGGCAACCCUGAUCCAGCCAUGCCGCGUGCAGGAAGACUGCCCUAUGGGUUGUAAACUGCUUUUCUACGGGAAGAAACACUCCGACGUGUCGGGGCUUGACGGUACCGUAAGAAUAAGGAUCGGCUAACUCCGUGCCAGCCGCCGCCGUAACAC